This 551-nucleotide ribosomal RNA is filed under the name uncultured bacterium. Its description in RNAcentral is "bacterial SSU rRNA". It matches the Rfam family "Bacterial small subunit ribosomal RNA", at positions 355 to 896 of the family's 1533-position model. The record is from RNAcentral.
UAGGGAAUCUUCGGCAAUGGACGGAAGUCUGACCGAGCAACGCCGCGUGAGUGAAGAAGGUUUUUCGGAUCGUAAAGCUCUGUUGUAAGAGAAGAACGAGUGUGAGAGUGGAAAGUUCACACUGUGACGGUAUCUUACCAGAAAGGGACGGCUAACUACGUGCCAGCAGCCGCGGUAAUACGUAGGUCCCGAGCGUUGUCCGGAUUUAUUGGGCGUAAAGCGAGCGCAGGCGGUUAGAUAAGUCUGAAGUUAAAGGCUGUGGCUUAACCAUAGUAGGCUUUGGAAACUGUUUAACUUGAGUGCAAGAGGGGAGAGUGGAAUUCCAUGUGUAGCGGUGAAAUGCGUAGAUAUAUGGAGGAACACCGGUGGCGAAAGCGGCUCUCUGGCUUGUAACUGACGCUGAGGCUCGAAAGCGUGGGGAGCAAACAGGAUUAGAUACCCUGGUAGUCCACGCUGUAAACGAUGAGUGCUAGGUGUUAGACCCUUUCCGGGGUUUAGUGCCGUAGCUAACGCAUUAAGCACUCCGCCUGGGGAGUACGACCGCAAGGUUG